Molecule: ribosomal RNA, 407 nt
Filed under: uncultured bacterium
Lineage: Bacteria
Description: partial 16S ribosomal RNA
Rfam family: Bacterial small subunit ribosomal RNA
Source: RNAcentral
AUUGAACGCUGGCGGCAGGCCUAACACAUGCAAGUCGAGCGGAGCGGCGAACGGGGAAGUAAUGACUAGGGAUCUGCCUGGUGGUGGGGGAUAACGUCCGGAAACGGGCGAUAAUACCGCAUACUAUCAGAUGAGCCUAGGUUGGAUUAGCUAGUUGGUGGGGUAAAGGCCUAGCAAGGCGACGAUCCGUAACUGGUCUGAGAGGAUGAUCAGUCACACUGGAACUGAGACACGGUCCAGACUCCUACGGUAGGCAGCAGUGGGGAAUAUUGGGCAAUGGGCGAAAGCCUGAUCCAGCCAUGCCGCGUGUGUGAAGAAGGUCUUCGGAUUGUAAAGCACUUUAAGUUGGGAGGCGUUACCAACAGAAUAAGCACCGGCUAACUUCGUGCCAGCAGCCGCGGUAAUAC